GCCGGGCAUGGUGGUGCAUGCCUGUAAUCCCAGCUACUCUGGAGGCUGAGGCAGGAGGAUUACAUGAACCCAGGAGGCAGAGGUUGCAGUGAGCCAAGAUCGUGCCACUGAACUCCAGUCUGAGUGACAGAGCAAGAUCCUGUCUCAA
This 148-nucleotide non-coding RNA is filed under the name Chlorocebus sabaeus (green monkey). The record is from Rfam by way of RNAcentral. Lineage: Eukaryota; Metazoa; Chordata; Mammalia; Primates; Cercopithecidae.